This 253-nucleotide ribosomal RNA is filed under the name uncultured bacterium. RNAcentral's name for it is "partial 16S ribosomal RNA". It matches the Rfam family "Bacterial small subunit ribosomal RNA", at positions 524 to 776 of the family's 1533-position model. The record is from RNAcentral.
UACGGAGGGGGCUAGCGUUGUUCGGAAUUACUGGGCGUAAAGGGUUCGUAGGCGGGAAUGCAAGUCAAGUGUGAAAUCCCCAGGCUCAACCUGGGACGUGCAUUUGAGACUGUGUUUCUUGAGAAUCGGAGAGGGUGGUGGAAUUGCUGGUGUAGGAGUGACAUCCGUAGAGAUCAGCAGGAACACCGGAGGCGAAGGCGACCACCUGGCCGAAUACUGACGCUGAGGAACGAAAGCGUGGGGAGCAAACAGG